This is a long non-coding RNA of Pseudopipra pipra, 1710 nucleotides long. RefSeq lists it as uncharacterized. Lineage: Eukaryota; Metazoa; Chordata; Aves; Passeriformes; Pipridae. The record is from RefSeq and is a predicted model, not a curated record. The transcript is spliced from 2 exons.
CAAUUUCAGAAGUUAUUCUAAUUUUUCUUUUUUAAUUUUAGGUUUUUCUGAAGGUUAGCAUCUGGAAUUCUAUGAUUAUACUGGGGAAAGGGAAGAAAAAGGCUAAGUAUAAGCAUGAAGACUAUUGUGCUGACACCAACAAGCUAUACAACACGUAUUUGGUAUCCUCAUUGCUACCAGCUGAAAUUUAGAAGAAUUAGCAAAUAAACUCUUUAAAUGAACCACCCCAAACAUACAUUCAAGAAUUUUCAAAGAAGAAAGCAUUUCUCUGAAACCAACAAGCACUUCAAAAAACAAAUAAAAAAAAGCCCUAUUGAAGAAAAUGCUAAAUACUGCUCUCUGAAGAGAAAAAUAUGAAUGCUGAAGAGACAUAGGAACAUCAGUCUGCACUGCCUUAGCACAGACAAGUGUUCAUGCGGCUACAAAAAAGAGCGAACAAUAAAAUCACUGGUGGAAUGAAGAGAGCUUCAGCAUGCAAGACUCAAGCCACACAAGGAAUCUCUAGUGUAUCCUUUUCCUUGAUUGCAUAGUGAGGAGAUUGCUAGGUGUUCACAAGAUUGUGUAAGAUAAUUUCUAGUUGCAGGUGGCAAAUGGAGAGACUGUUACUGUCUAUAUCUGUGAGGACAUCAAACAUUCACAUCUGGAUGUGAUGAAAAGGAAGGAAAUCCUGAUUAAAUACCUAGUGAAAAAAAUCCAGUCUUGCAAGGUGGAAUAUGCUACCAAUUGUCACUGAGGUAAAGUGGAAUAACUGACAUGAGGGUCUGGACAGAGGACCACCCUCACCAUAACAUGGGAUAACAGAUCCUUACGGUAUGAAACAAAAAAUAAGGCUUUCUUAGUAGGUAUGUAUAUAUAUAUGAAAUAAUAUAUAUAUAUGAAAAAACGGUUAUUAAAUAUAUUAAUUAUGCACGCUCAUAUAAAUGCUUCAUCUUGAUUGUGCUGCUCCCUGCUGGACAAAAAAACCAGCUCAGAUGGCUGAGCUUUUCUUUUCAGUGAUUUUUACUUUCAGGCUCAUUGUGUCGUAAUACCUGGUUCUGAAAAGCAGGAUAAGGUUAUGGAGGUCUGGUGGGCUUCAGGUUUCUGCAUCUUCAUGUAAAACUUUCAGUUGUUAUUCUGGUUUUCUAAAUGGCUGUUUUGUAAACAUCUGUAUUACAAGGUAACCUUCUAGUACAAAGGACCUUUUCGACCCAAAGACACAUUUAAAGCAGUGGACGGUCCGUUCCUGUUCUCCUGCCUGGAGAUGUGAACACUUUACAAAGAAACAACAGUUCAAACAGCUCUCUCCUAUGCUAUCCCCAUUUUCAUCUUCCCUCACAACUAAUCUCCAGAAGAAAGCAUGCAACUUCUGCACUGAUACAAAACUUCAAACACAGAUGGGUUUUUUGCUCACAUUGUUACUGCCAUUACCUGAUGGUUUGGGUGUGGUGGCAUGGGAUAUUCCUCCAUUGUGCUGUGCAUUGUCACCAGUUGCGAAAUCCAGGCUCAUACGGGGUUUGGGCUGGUAUUCUCGCCUGGGCUGAGAUGAUGCCUCUUUUAUUCUACCAAAACAUUAAAUGUCAAGAGUUAGUAUCUUGUUAGCAGAUGAGACACACCAAACAUCUUUAUUUCCAUGGCUGAAGUUCUCAUCAACCAAUCAUCCACACUAAACAAGUUUUGUCAUUUGGAGUAGUGUAUUUUGUUUACAACAAUAAUUUAAAUUACCAAAAAACA